AAGUCCCAUCACAAAAGUGUAUUGUAUGCAAUCUUAUCUUGCAUUUCUGCUAGACAUUGUUUUCAAUGCUUAAACCCCAUGACCUCCUGAUCACAUGACAGCAACUUUACCAGUUACUCCAAGGUGCCCUUCAAGAAUAUGUGAGGAACAUGACUAGGAUGUUGAUUGGUUCUAAGAUGACUCCAUCAAAUCAUGAUAGUUACAAUAGUACGGAGUUUAACACUUUGAUUUCCACUAAGGUGGUGGAUAACUAUCAUGUUAGCCAGCCAAUGCCGUCUACGUCUUCUUGCACGAAAUCCGCCUUUGUUUGGAUAAGACGUUGAAGACGUUCAUUUCUUGCCCGCAAAGUGCAGAUACAAGACGACGUUGUGGUGGACCUAAUAAGGAGAACAAACUCAUCAUUCCCACCAAGGUAAAUUAGUAGCCGCUUGGUCAUGAGUAAUUUUUUACUUUUUUUUGAAAAUUAUUUCACUAUAAUGAAAAGUAAAAACUGUGGUGUUUAUUCAUUAGAAUUUCAAAUAUAAUUCCGAAAUUGUAUUUUGGAAAAGUGAAAACAAGUU
RNAcentral lists this long non-coding RNA (560 nucleotides) under Capsicum annuum. Its description in RNAcentral is "long non-coding RNA (CANN_LNC018029)". The record is from RNAcentral. Lineage: Eukaryota; Viridiplantae; Streptophyta; Magnoliopsida; Solanales; Solanaceae.